GUUGUGUGCUGGCGUAGAGCGGCGGUAAAACGUAGGAGGCAAUCGGUAUCCGGAUUUACUGGGCGUAAAGCGCACGGAGGCGGGUAUGUAAGGCGGACGUGGAAGCUCCUAGCUCAACUGGGAGAGGUCGUUCGAAACUGCAUAGCUUGAGGUUGGAAGAGGAGAGCGGAACUCCCGGUGUAGUGGUGUAAUGCGUAGAUAUCGGGAAGAACACCAGUGGCGAAGGCGGCUCUCUGGUCCAAAUCUGACGCUCAUGUGCGAAAGCGUGGGUAGCGAACGGGAUUAGAUACCCGUGUAGUC
RNAcentral lists this ribosomal RNA (300 nucleotides) under uncultured Bacillus sp. RNAcentral's name for it is "bacterial SSU rRNA". It matches the Rfam family "Bacterial small subunit ribosomal RNA", at positions 500 to 795 of the family's 1533-position model. Lineage: Bacteria; Bacillati; Bacillota; Bacilli; Caryophanales; Bacillaceae. The record is from RNAcentral.